This is a long non-coding RNA of Notothenia coriiceps (black rockcod), 510 nucleotides long. RefSeq lists it as uncharacterized. The record is from RefSeq and is a predicted model, not a curated record. The transcript is spliced from 3 exons. NCBI's taxonomy places the organism in Eukaryota, Metazoa, Chordata, Actinopteri, Perciformes, Nototheniidae.
UCCCUUUGUAGGAGAUUAAAGAGCUGGAGGAGUUCAGAGCCAAAAACCAACGUCUGCAAAAGCUGAGGGUCGGCCAGUUAAUUCUCUACUCGUCGGUCCUCUACCUGCUGAUCUCUCUGGUGGUUUACUGCCUCUACCUGCCGGAACAAUGGUUCCAGAGAAUAUUCAUGGCCGUGCCUUUCUUCAUUUACCCCGUGCUAGUGUGGUUCAUCAGGAGGUUGUUGGUCUUUCUCUUUUCCAAACGCACUGAGAGGAACAGUAAGUUGUCUUUACCUCUUCACCUGUUCAUCGAUCCGAACAGCUAACGCACAUAUCAUCUCUUUUUCAAGCUCUUGUUCAUUUUGAAGCCCAACCAAAUAACCCUUUGACUGUGAAAACGACUAGCAUUAGUUGCAUUUACAAUGAAUUUUCUACCACCUUAACCUGUAGUGGACUCAAUAGAUAUUCCAUCCAUGCGUUCUUUACAGGAGUAAACUAUGCAGCAAUUUUAUUUCAGUCAGACAACUCACG